This 613-nucleotide long non-coding RNA is filed under the name Marmota monax (woodchuck). Lineage: Eukaryota; Metazoa; Chordata; Mammalia; Rodentia; Sciuridae. The record is from RNAcentral.
GGCUCUGGAGGGCGGCUGGGCACUGCCUCUCCCCCCGAAAAGGGAGCAAGUUGACAGAUGAGCUUGCGGGGGUCCCUAAUCGGGCUUACCUUUUGUACCUGCUACCUGGCUUCUUACCUAAUGAACAAGUAUGUCCUGUCUGUCCUGAAAUUUACUUACCCUACAUUAUUCCAAGGGUGGCAGACAUUCAUUGGUGGACUUCUGCUCCAUGUAUCAUGGAAACUGGGCUGGGUGGAGAUCAACAGCAGUUUAAGAUCUGAUGUUUUGACUUGGCUUCCUGCUUCAAUUCUGUUUGUGGGGAAAAUCUAUGCUGGGUCCAGGGCUUUGUCCAGACUGGCCGUUCCUGUGUUUCUCAUUUUGCAUAAUGCAGCUGAAGUUAUCAUCUGUGGCUACCAGAAGUGUUUUUGGAAAGAGAAAACAUCUCCUGUAAAGAUCUGUAGCGCCCUCUUCCUCUUGGCAGCUGCAGGGUGCCUUCCCUUCAACGACUCCCAGUUUGAUCCAGAUGGAUAUUUUUGGGCUGUAGUUCACUUAUUCUGUGUAGGUGCUUAUAAAAUACUACGGAAGUUCCAGAAGCCUAGUGCAUUAAGUGGAAAGCUCAGUGCGCCCCGCCUUU